AACCUACUAGCUCAAUUGGUAGAGCAUUAUGCAAAUGUGCAAAGAUGUGGCUUCGAAUCCUACGUAGGUUG
This 71-nucleotide transfer RNA is filed under the name Spinacia oleracea (spinach). It matches the Rfam family "tRNA". From Rfam's summary of the family: Transfer RNA (tRNA) molecules are approximately 80 nucleotides in length. Their secondary structure includes four short double-helical elements and three loops (D, anti-codon, and T loops). Further hydrogen bonds mediate the characteristic L-shaped molecular structure. tRNAs have two regions of fundamental functional importance: the anti-codon, which is responsible for specific mRNA codon recognition, and the 3' end, to which the tRNAs corresponding amino acid is attached (by aminoacyl-tRNA synthetases). tRNAs cope with the degeneracy of the genetic code in two manners: having more than one tRNA (with a specific anti-codon) for a particular amino acid; and 'wobble' base-pairing, i.e. permitting non-standard base-pairing at the 3rd anti-codon position. The record is from Rfam by way of RNAcentral. Lineage: Eukaryota; Viridiplantae; Streptophyta; Magnoliopsida; Caryophyllales; Amaranthaceae.